CCUACGGGAGGCAGCAGUGAGGAAUAUUGGUCAAUGGACGAGAGUCUGAACCAGCCAAGUAGCGUGAAGGAUGACUGCCCUAUGGGUUGUAAACUUCUUUUAUAAAGGAAUAAAACGAGGCACGUGUGCCUUUUUGCAUGUACUUUAUGAAUAAGGAUCGGCUAACUCCGUGCCAGCAGCCGCGGUAAUACGGAGGAUCCGAGCGUUAUCCGGAUUUCUUGGGUUUAAAGGGAGCGUAGAUGGGUUGUUAAGUCAGUUGUGAAAGUUUGCGGCUCAACCGUAAAAUUGCAAUUGAUACUGGCAGUCUUGAGUACAGUUGAGGUAGGCGGAAUUCGGGGUGUAGCGGUGAAAUGCUUAGAUAUCACGAAGAACCCCGAUUGCGAAGGCAGCUUACUAAACUGUGACUGACAUUGAUGCUCGAAAGUGUGGGUAUCAAACAGGAUUAGAUACCCUGGUAGUC
RNAcentral lists this ribosomal RNA (460 nucleotides) under uncultured bacterium. RNAcentral describes it as "partial 16S ribosomal RNA". It matches the Rfam family "Bacterial small subunit ribosomal RNA", at positions 338 to 795 of the family's 1533-position model. The record is from RNAcentral.